Dunckerocampus dactyliophorus (ringed pipefish) is the source of this 965-nucleotide RNA transcript. It is a transcript of the gene named small integral membrane protein 20, with no coding region annotated. Lineage: Eukaryota; Metazoa; Chordata; Actinopteri; Syngnathiformes; Syngnathidae. The record is from RefSeq and is a predicted model, not a curated record. The transcript has 5 exons.
UAACUUUUUUACCGAAAACUGUGAUGCACAUUAUGGGGUGCAAUCCAACUUGGAAUUCAUUUUUUUAAUGUAAGUAGUACCGGAAAAAUCGUUAAACAAGCCUCAACUUCUUUAUUUUGGACAGUGUGUCACGUGACUCGGUUUCUUUCACUACGGAAUACCAGAAAAGACAAACAAAAGGGUUUGUCUACUUGUUAGCCUUUCCACCGGAAGUACUUAUUCAAACACUAUGCACAUUUGGAGGUGAAAUUAAACCUGCGACAAGAGAUAGGAAGAAUGUCCAAAAACAGGAAAAUUACCUUGAUUUUUGGAGGGUUUGUAACUGCCGUUGCUGCAGCGUUUUACCCUAUAUUCUUCUACCCGUUCACCCACAAAGACGAGUAUAGAGAAGUCCAGAAGGUGAAUCGUGCUGGAAUCAAACAGGAUGAUGUGCAGCCUGCAGGUCUCAAGGUCUGGUCUGAUCCAUUUAAGUCGUCAGACAAAUGAUUCCUGAUGAUGACAACAUGGACAGAUGAUACAGAUUCCUCAAGCGACAGUGUGAGUGAAGUAAGCAAGGCGAGGGGAAAUGGAAGCGAGCGUCCAGAGGAAGAGAAGCACAUUCUUGAGAAUAUAUGACUUGGCUCAGAGAGGGAAUUCUGGGAAAGUCAUGGAAUUUUGGAGGCCUUGACGGAACACAGGCUGUCUGUUCUUGGCUCGUUCUGCGCGGAGCAGGAAGAGGAGGGAGGAGGUGGGCUAGAGUGUGUUGUGGACCUUAAGGACACCCGAAGGGAGAGGACCCGGAACAAUGACAGCUUUACGGCACAGUGGUCUCGAUGAUGUUCCAAAAGAACAAAUAAAGUUUUGAGCAUUAAGUAUCCCAAACAAAACCUUAUUGGCUUGUUAGUCAGCAGGAUUACACCCAAGCAUACACAAAACCUUGUGGUGCAAUGAGGCAAAGAGCAACUCCAGUUUUUGCUUUGGAUCUG